RNAcentral lists this long non-coding RNA (5820 nucleotides) under Panax ginseng (ginseng). RNAcentral's name for it is "long non-coding RNA (PGIN_LNC015120)". The record is from RNAcentral. Lineage: Eukaryota; Viridiplantae; Streptophyta; Magnoliopsida; Apiales; Araliaceae.
CGGCUUGUUGUUUAUUGAUGAUUUCUUGGUUACAUAGGGAUUUACAAUAGAUAAUAUUUAUACCUACUAAUCAUAUUACAACCCUACUUCACAUUAUGUCUCAAUUACCCAUAAUGUCCCUCUAAUAAACAACCCAGAAAAAACUCUUGUACCGUACCGCGGGGGCUUCACCCCCCGCAACCUUCGCUGCAACCCUGAUGGGCUAGUGCGUCGCUUCGCUCCGCUCCGCUCGGGACCUACGGCCCGAGCUACGCUCCGCUCCGCUAGACUCUGCACUAGUCUUUUUCAAUAACUUCUAUAUUAUGAGUCACAAGUUUCCAACAUAUUCGCUAUGUUGAAAAUAUAAAAUUUCACUCCUCUUUUAGUAUUCUUGCUUGAAUUUCCUGGAUUAGGAAUAACUUGAAUUUGUAACUUUACUAUACUAAUGCAUUAUAGAAUGGGAAAUAAUUUAUCUUGUGAUUCUGCGUAUCGUUUUUUUUGUCAGUUAACUCUUUUAGAGGUAAUUAACUUUUUUUGUCAGAUGCUUAAAUAUAUAAUAUUAUAAUCUUAUUUAAUCUUUAGUGUAUGUUGCAAUUGUAUUAGGCCUAAAACUUUUACAAUGCAUAAAUGAAGCAUGUGGUGUGCGCGUUGAAGAAUAAUUUAUUUGUCCUUCUAUAUGCAUAACGCGAAUUUCUAGUUAAAUAAAAAACAACAGGAGAAUAAGUAAAUAUCCAAACCAUAAUAUAUGUGUGUGUGUGUAUUGUGUGUUACUAUAUAUGUUGUUGUAGAAUAUUUCAUACCUUGUGACACGGGUUUUCUUUCAAAUUAGUAUGAAGAAAUCAGAUUAAUCUAUUGCUAAUGAAUUUGAUAUAGCUGCGUUAGAAUGGUUCUAGAGUUGAACAUUUAAUAUGAAUAUAAUGGUUCUUUCUCAACUUUAAAUUCAUCAAGCAGUUGACCAUACUUAUCUAUCCAUACUAUAGGUUGUUUCUCAGCAACACAAAACAGAUUUAGAAGUGAGAUCUUUUAAAACUUUUUCACUUAUUAAAGAUCAAUGUAUUAUCAAAUAAUUAAUUAAUUAAUAUUAAUUAAAUAUAGCAGAAUAUUAAUUUUAAAAUCUCCAUAAAGAUUUAAUGAAAUCUCAGUUGAAUUUAGUACUUGUAAAUUUUAGUCACAAUAGUUAAUAUAGCAGAGUAUAAAUACUGAAUGAAAAAGACAAAAUUUAAGUGAUUCGAAGACUAGACAACUCUUAAUUCACUCUUCUACUCUAUGAGUAGAAAAUCCACUAAGAAUAGAUCACACAGAUCUUUUACACUUGAACCACUAAGAUUCUUUCGAGUCGCUUAGUCUCGGAAUAGGGACACACAGUCCAGAUCACAAAGAUCUCUUCAAGUCUCCUAGACUUGAAAUAAUUGUCACUAAGACAAUGGAAUCGUAGAUGAUUGAAUGUUGCUUGAGUGCUGCUAAGUUUGCAAUAAGUUUGACUUCUUAUGUACUUAACAGCUUGAACUAGUACGUAGUUCUGUUUCGUAGAGUAAAGCUCUUUAUAGUUCGGCAGAGUUUCAGCUUGUUAGAUUGUGAUUCAUACUUAAAUUUGAAUCAUCACACUUUUUUAUAGUCUGCCUGAAAGUUUUCCGUUGCAAAGUUUUUGUUUGAGCAUUUAAUGCUCUAAUACUCAAGGAUCGUUGAUGUCAGUACUAAAAAAAUGGUCAUUUGUGAUAGUCAAAAUCUAUUACAAAAAGUAAAAAAACCAUCACGAAAGGUUUACGUAAUAGUUUUAAGCAUCACAAUGGUCGUCUUGUAUACGCCCGUCAUGAAAGAUUUUACAUGAUGAUUUUGGCACUCACACAAACGCUUUGUGCUUUUGUGAUAAUUAAUACAAUCACAUUAACGCAUAAUCUAUUGUGACAAGACUAGAGAUCAAAGGUAAGAACGUGAAUCUCUAUUUACGUAUAAUUUAUUCCACUGUAUUAAUUGUAUCAAAUGAUACUUAUAGGAUUCGAACCCUUCCACAUUUGUAAACUAAAUAACGAGUAUUACAACUACACCAAAACCCAAAUCAUGAUUAUAAUUUUAAAACAAAAUAUAAAAGGAAACAUAUGCGAGUUGACUUACUUUUAUAAAAUUACUUUCAUAUAAGACUUGGUGAUUACAAUGGUAGUCACAAAUACUCUAUAAUGAUGGCAAAAUUAGUCAUCACUGAGAGCCAUCAUAUAUUUUAUUGUUCUGUGAUGACUUUAAAAUUCCAUCACAAAAUACCUUCUUUUUUUAAUUGCAAAUAAAAGUCGUCAAUUUUUUUUAAUGAUUGUCAUGGCCGUCACAAAAUAUUGUUUUGAUUAUUUCUUACAUUAAAAUAUUAGUGAUAGCUUAAAUGCAAUCACGAAAAGGGUAUAUCUAUAAGUGAUGACUUAGUGAGUCAUAAAAAGAAAAUUUUUUUGCGUGAAAAAUAAAUUUGGUGUGAUUGACAUGGCCAUCACAAUUAUAAUACAUUGAUGACAAGAUUAGUCAUCACUAAGAGCCAUCAUAUAUACUAUUAUUUUGUGAUUGCUAAAAAAAUUCAUCAUAAAUUAUUAUCUUUUGUGAUUGUUAAAAAUUCUCACAAAGUUACGUCACAUAUUCUUGUUUUUUUAGUAGUCAUGUGUUGACUUCUAGGGUGGUUGUGUUAGCUUGCUUUCGGUUUCUUUUACCUGUCACAUUAUCCUGUAGUUUCACCACGUCAAGCUAGUUGUUAAUUGGACAAAAACAUAUUCUGAACUUCGAUUUCAACGAAUAAUAUGUGAUCCUUGCAUUGGGUUCGCCAAUGUAGCGCCCCAAAAUCCGGGUCCCUUGAAUCUCAAACCUAGUGUGUCACGAUACAUCAUCUUCAUACAUAUUCUAUAAACUAAUGCAGAAUUAUAAAUAUAAAUUAUUUAUUACACAAUAGUUUUGUAAUAUUUCCCAAGGUCUACAACCUUUAUCUUAAUACAUACCUUUAAUAAUUCACAAGGUUUACAUAAUCAAUUUACGUCAGUUAUCAUAAUAGAUAAAUGUCCAUAUAAAACUAAUCUCCAUCUUUUCCUUUUCCUUUGUCAUUCUUUGAGCAUUCGAGUUAAACUAAAAUAUAUUCAUGAUAUAGCAAGGGUGAACAACUACUUUGCUCAGCAAGUUUAAAUACAAUAAAGAUAUAUCAUGAUUGAAAGAAAUAAUAAGCUUUCAAGUUUUCAACAAUAUAAUGAUUGUGAAAGAGCGUGAAUCAAAUUUCAAUACGUGAAUGAUUAAAUUAAUAACGAUGAGUGGUCAACAAUGAUCAUGAACAAAAUACUUUGGUAAUGAAUGUGAUCAGCCUUUCAUACCUGAUAAACAUAUGCAAUGUGCACUAAAUUCGAAUCAAUAAUCAUAUAUGUGAAAUAAUUGUCAAUAAUUAAACCACUAGCAUUCUUGAAAAUUAUUAACUCGAGUUUGAGUUAGAAAACUUGUCAUUGCCAUUGAUUAUCGUUAAGCAAUCUAAUUUAAUCUCUUAUGAAAGACCUAUCAUUAAUAAGAUCGAUCCUCCAAUUAGCAUAAUACAUUUUAUCUCACAAUACUAUUACUCACAUAAUAAAUUAGCUAACAUUUAGCCAAAUAAUCAAACAUUGAAUAAUUCUUUAACUCAUUAGUAAUAUUAUCAUCCCUUAAUAAUAUUACUAUCAUUUAAUCAUCAUAUUAAACUCUUGGCUAAUAUUAUUAAUCAUUUAAUAAUAUUUUAAUCACUUAAUACUAUUAAUCACUUAAUAAUAUUUAAUAACUUCUUAAUAUUAUUAAAUCAUUUAAUAAAAUAUUAAUCAUUCAAAAAUAUUAUUAAUAAUUUAAUAAUAAUUUAAUUAUUUACCAAUAUUAUUAACCAUUUAAUAAUAUUUUAAUUCUUAUAUAAUAUUAUUAAUUAUUUAAUAAUAUUUUAAUCAUUCACUAAUAUUAUUAAUCAAUUAAUAAUAUUUUAAUAAUCUAAUAUUAUUAAUUUUUUAAUAUUUUAAUCGCUUAUAAAGGUAUCACACAUUUUAAGAUUUAAAUAUUUUACAUCUUGAAGCUUAAACCAUUUAAAAUCUAUUUCAGAAAUAUCUUUUACCUUUACUCGUAAAUUCGGAGUUUAAACAGCUAAUGCAUAGCUUUUAUAGUAAAACUCAAUUUACUAUAUUAUUUCUUUAAUUUAAAUAUUUUUUACAUCAAUUUGUCCGUUCAUGAGUCAACACUGACUGUUGCCUCAUAUAUAAAUAUUUUAUCUCUCUAGCACAUUCGUUUAUUUUUCAUUUUACGAUUAUUCGCAUUUUUGCUUUAUAUAUAUAUAUAUAUAUAUAUAUAUAUAUAUAUAUAUAUAUAUAUAUAUAUAUAUAUUUAUCGUUACGUAAAUCUCAGCUCAAAAAUCAUAUUUUGAACACCGAAAACCUCAAAAUAUCAUUUUUGUGAUUAAUAAAAAAUUUCAAAGGUUUUACAUUCUUAGUUGCACCACAAAAUAAAUUUAUAGGUAACUAUAUUUUUUAUUUUAAUUAAAUAUGUAAUUUAUAUUUAUUACAUAUUUUUAUUGCUUUAUUUAUGCCCGAAAGAAAGUUUCUCGACAUAAAAUAUCAUUUAUAGUCAAAUCUCACCCCGUAGGACUUUAUUAAAUUUAUUAUGACUUAUUAUUUUGGCGAAACGCGAUUCGAAACGUCAAACGUCAAAGUCGCUCAAUGCGCCGAAGCUCGGCGUUCGCUUAAAUUUUAGUUCUAACAUGCAUGUUCACUCAUUUUUACUUUUCAAAUCAUAAGCUAUAUAACAACAAAAUUUUGGGCAUGUUAUAGACCUUAUGGCGUAGUAUUUUAGAAAAAUUUCUAACCGCCAAAACGGAUCACGGAACCCAUCAAAAUAGCUCGUCAAAAAGCAUGUCAGGCAGCUACCCAACAGGACAGCGCGGCGCCGCACGCCCAGCGCGCGCACGCUGCUGCCCAGCAGCGUUGCUGCUCCGCUGCUCGCAUACCAAAUUCGCUAUUUUCGAAUUUCGUACACGUUGUUCGUUAAUCGGAUUGAUCCCAUUUUUGGAUAUGUUUUUCAUAUCAUAUGAAACUAUUUUUAAAAAAUAUGAAACCCAUUUGGGGUUCAUUAAGAAGUCCCAAUAAUUCACUAAAAAUGGACGUUCAUAACAAUUUUAAACUUUUUCUCAUCUUUACUUUUUAUCACUAAAACAGUCAUAACCUUUUCAUUUCAAAACAUUUGCGAGCGAUUCUUGAGCCCAUGCAAAGCUAACUUCCGAGACUACAAGUUUUAUGCUUUGACCUUUUUGAAAUUCUAAACACAGAAUUCCAAAAAAAUCGUGCAAGGGGACUUCCCCGAGUUUGUUAAACAGUUUUGACGCAACUACUUUGAACGGUCAUAACUCUUUGCUCAGAAGUCGAAAUUAGUCCGUUCGGGAGUCUAUGAAAAGCUUAUUCAGUGUACUAUAAUAUACCAAAAGCCCACAAUUUUCUGGAGCAUCUAACUAAUCCCGGAUUUUUCUUUUAUGGUCAGUAGUCUACUAUUUUUUCUAAGUUAAAAAACUGUUUUACUUUUCUUUCUUUGGAUCAAAUUUUUAUCACCUAAAAUUGUUAAAUCCAUAAAAAAUACACUAUAUAACAUGUAGAUCUAAAGUUUUUAAAGUUCAAAAUCAUAACUUGAUAGUUCAUCAAAUUCAAACACAAUAAAAGGAAUAAACUAAAUUAGGGUGUUAUACCUUUCUUAUUGCUCUCUUCCUUCUUCUUCUUCUUCUUCUUUGUCUUCUUUAGUGACUGAUCUCUUUCUUUCUUUUUUCUAUGUAGACGGGUGUGUGAGAGAAAAAUGAGAGCUAAUCUUGCAUAUCUAUCAAUAUCUUAGCAAAUCUCC